AAUCCUACGGGACGCAGCAGUGGGGGAUAUUGCACAAUGGGGGAAACCCUGAUGCAGCGACGCCGCGUGUGGGAAGACGGUCCUCUGGAUUGUAAACCACUGUCCCCAGGGACGAAGAUGACGGUACCUGGGGAGGAAGCUCCGGCUAACUACGCGCCAGCAGCCGCGGUCAUACGUAGGGCGCGAGCGUUGUCCGGAAUUACUGGGUGUAAAGGGAGCGUAGGCGGGGAUGCAAGAUGGGUGUCAAAACUACCGGCUCAACUGGUAGUCGCACUCAAA
This 279-nucleotide ribosomal RNA is filed under the name uncultured bacterium. Its description in RNAcentral is "partial 16S ribosomal RNA". It matches the Rfam family "Bacterial small subunit ribosomal RNA", at positions 335 to 631 of the family's 1533-position model. The record is from RNAcentral.